UACAACAAUGGAGCUGCCAAUCAAAAGUGGCAUUACAUGAAAAAUAUAAAAGCACUUGUGGCCUUUCAUAGCACUGCCUUGGAUAAGGAAAUUACAUCAGCAAAUUAUGCUGGUGUCUGUACAUCAUCUGUGAUUAAAGAAGAAAACAUUGAUCAACCAGGAUACUGUUACCUCUCACCUGAUGGAAAGAGAAAAACUAUGCUCUGCUUGGCUUGUGGACAAUCCAUGAGAACAGAGAAAGGACUGAAACAAUUGCUUCCAGGGGUUCCAUUCCUCUGUAUUUCAGGCACCAAGACUCAGAAGCCCUUCUUACAAGGGCCCUUCAAGGUCAUCAGUGUGGCUGAGGUAUGUAAUGAUCUGAGCUCUGCUAAUGCAUGUAUGGCAACAAUUUGGAAACUUUGAUGCAUUCAUUAUCUGCCUUGCACUCAAGUUCAUCUCCACUCAUCCAAUUCAUCUUCCUCAGAUGCACCUUUACCAUUCUACCUGCAUUGAUUUCCUUUUCCCCAUUGUAAUUUAAAAUGCAUUGUCUAUUAAUAGUUCAAUAGACUCUUUGAAGUUAAUUGGGCACUU
RNAcentral lists this small RNA (570 nucleotides) under Pan troglodytes (chimpanzee). Its description in RNAcentral is "retained intron". The record is from RNAcentral. Lineage: Eukaryota; Metazoa; Chordata; Mammalia; Primates; Hominidae.